AGGGCAAGUCUGGUGCCAGCAGCCGCGGUAAUUCCAGCUCCAAUAGCGUAUAUUAAAGUUGUUGCAGUUAAAAAGCUCGUAGUUGAAUUUCGGGGUCAGUAGGCUGGUCGUGCCACAGGUAUGUACUGGUCUCACUGAUUCCUCCUUCCUGAUGAACCGUAAUGCCAUUAAUUUGGUGUUGCGGGGAAUCUGGACUGUUACUUUGAAAAAAUUAGAGUGUUUAAAGCAGGCUAACGCUUGAAUACAUUAGCAUGGAAUAAUGAAAUAGGACGAUCGAUCCUAUUUUGUUGGUUUCUAGGAUUGACGUAAUGAUUAAUAGGGAUAGUUGGGGGCAUUAGUAUUCAAUUGUCAGAGGUGAAAUUCUUGGAUUUAUUGAAGACUAACUACUGCGAAAGCAUUUGCCAAGGAUGUUUUCAUUAAUCAAGAACGAAAGUUAGGGGAUCGAAGACGAUCAGAUACCGUCGUAGUCUUAACCAUAAACUAUGCCGACUAGGGAUCGGAUGAUGUUAAUUUUUUAAUGACUCAUUCGGCGCCUUACGGGAA
Molecule: ribosomal RNA, 543 nt
Filed under: uncultured Glomeromycotina
Lineage: Eukaryota; Fungi; Glomeromycota
Description: SSU rRNA
Rfam family: Eukaryotic small subunit ribosomal RNA
Source: RNAcentral